This is a ribosomal RNA of Mustela putorius furo (domestic ferret), 115 nucleotides long. NCBI's taxonomy places the organism in Eukaryota, Metazoa, Chordata, Mammalia, Carnivora, Mustelidae. The record is from Ensembl.
CCCAGUUGUUUCCUUUAAUUUUCCACCCGAUCUCGUCUGAUCUCGGAAACUAAGCAGGGUCAGGCCUGGUUAGUACUUGGACGGGAGUCUGUUGUAAAGUAAGGUGGAACUGAAC